GACGAACGCUGGCGGCGUGCUUAACAUAUGCAAGUCGAACGGAAAGGCCCUGCUUGCAGGGUGCUCGAGUGGCGAACGGGUGAGUAACACGUGGGUGAUCUGCCCCUUAUUUUGGGAUAAGCCUGGGAAACUGGGUCUAAUACUGGAUAGGACCAUGCUGUAGGUGGUGUGGUGGAAAGAUUAGUUUCGGUAAGGGAUGAGCUCGCGGCCUAUCAGCUUGUUGGUGGGGUAAUGGCCUACCAAGGCGUCGACGGGUAGCCGGCCUGAGAGGGUGGACGGCCACAUUGGGACUGAGAUACGGCCCAGACUCCUACGGGAGGCAGCAGUGGGGAAUAUUGCACAAUGGGCGCAAGCCUGAUGCAGCGACGCCGCGUGGGAGAUGACGGCCUUCGGGUUGUAAACUCCUUUCAGCCAUGACGAAGCCCUUGUGGUGACGGUAGUGGUAGAAGAAGCACCGGCUAACUACGUG
RNAcentral lists this ribosomal RNA (469 nucleotides) under uncultured bacterium. Its description in RNAcentral is "partial 16S ribosomal RNA". It matches the Rfam family "Bacterial small subunit ribosomal RNA", at positions 28 to 507 of the family's 1533-position model. The record is from RNAcentral.